This is a long non-coding RNA of Uloborus diversus, 341 nucleotides long. RefSeq lists it as uncharacterized. The transcript is spliced from 3 exons. NCBI's taxonomy places the organism in Eukaryota, Metazoa, Arthropoda, Arachnida, Araneae, Uloboridae. The record is from RefSeq and is a predicted model, not a curated record.
UCCGACCACGUGUUUAAGAGUCGGUUAGUGGACACCAUUUUGUCUUUGUCGUCUAAUUUCAGGACAGCAGAACCCGGAGAAUCUUGAAGCGAGUUUGGGUUUGCAAUUGUAAAAAAUGCUGACUAUGACUGGAAAAGUUUCGUUUAUGCUUAUUGUAUGGAUCUUCUCCACUGCUUCUUAUGCUCAAGUUCCGACUUCUGAUGAAAAGCCGACAGUAUCUUGUGCACCAGGUGAAACUAAAUGUUAUUUUGGUUGUUGUCCAUAUGCAAAUGCAACUUGUUGUUUGGAUCGUUAUCAAUGCUGCAAACAUGGAGAAACAUGUAUACCAGUAGUGGGUAUAU